Molecule: microRNA, 23 nt
Filed under: Caenorhabditis briggsae
Lineage: Eukaryota; Metazoa; Nematoda; Chromadorea; Rhabditida; Rhabditidae
Also listed under: 1 other name
Description: cbr-miR-233
Gene: cbr-miR-233
Source: miRBase by way of RNAcentral
UUGAGCAAUGCGCAUGUGCGGGA